This 556-nucleotide ribosomal RNA is filed under the name Charax stenopterus. RNAcentral describes it as "partial 16S ribosomal RNA". It matches the Rfam family "Bacterial large subunit ribosomal RNA", at positions 1835 to 2594 of the family's 2925-position model. Lineage: Eukaryota; Metazoa; Chordata; Actinopteri; Characiformes; Characidae. The record is from RNAcentral.
AAAUCAAAGUAUAAGAGGUCUUACCUGCCCAGUGACAUUAUGUUAAACGGCCGCGGUAUUUUGACCGUGCUAAGGUAGCGCAAUCACUUGUCUUUUAAAUGGAGACCUGUAUGAAUGGUGAAACGAGGGCUUAACUGUCUCCCUUUUUAGGUCAGUGAAAUUGAUCUAUCCGUGCAGAAGCGGAUAUAAAUAUACAAGACGAGAAGACCCUUUGGAGCUUAAGACACAAGGUUAACUACGUCAAUAAUCCUUAUAAAAAGGAAUGAAACAGAGUAAUAACUAACCAACGUCUUCGGUUGGGGCGACCACGGGGGAAAAACAAGCCCCCAUGUGGAUUGGGGUAACCUAAAACCACGAGAGACACCUCUAAGUCACAGAAAAUCUGACCAAAAGAUCCGGCUUCCUAGCCGAUCAGCGGACUAAGUUACCCUAGGGAUAACAGCGCAAUCCCCUCCAAGAGUUCAUAUCGACAAGGGGGUUUACGACCUCGAUGUUGGAUCAGGACAUCCUAAUGGUGCAGCCGCUAUUAAGGGUUCGUUUGUUCAACGAUUAAAGU